CAAGUUACAGUGGGCCAAGGCUUAUGGUCUUUUCGAUAUUACAAUUAAACACAAGUCAAGGCAGGGAAAAAAAGUCACACACAUAGAGGUUAUCAGAUAAAUACCACUGAAAUUCCAAUGAGGAAGGAGCAUACACCACAGAAUGGCUUCUUUCAGAAAAUAAAACUACCUUUUCUAUUCAGGACAGGACCAUUUAGAAUCUUCUUCAAAUACAAUAAUGUCUACUCCCUGAAGAAACUCUCGGUUGUUUUAUGUGUCCUUAGUUAUAUCAUAACCAGUGUUUGAAUUUCUUGCACAAUGAAUUUUUUCUCUUUAAAUCGGACAAGCAAUAAACUAUCAUGAUAAAUGUGAUUUAGCAACUGACUUAGAAGCAGAGAUAACACGAGCCACAGCUGCCACGCCAAGCAGCCUCCGACGGACUGGCUGAAGUUGCUGCCAUGACAAUCCUGCCCAGGGCUCACUGUGCUCAUCCAGAGCUGUAACAAAGUAGGUUGCUUUCCCUCCAAUUCUUCCAUUUAUUUCUGGAGCUAUCUCACUGUAAUUUAGCUCAAGUUAAUGAUAACCCUAAAUGCAAUAUUACCAGUUAUUAUUUCUCACUUUAAAAUAGUGCCUAAGUGGCUAAUGUUCCCUGGUUUAGAUGGAAUCCGAGGGCAGGGAGUGAGGAGGUUAUGAUGGGCAGAACAGAGAGACCAUGAAAACUGUGCCUCUGACCCUCUGGUCAGCUCAUGUCUACCUUCCAGACUUCGCCUGUCUCAGGCAGGCAGAGGAUCGAGACAUUGGCCCCUAACAUUGGGGAAGAAAUCACACUCUCCUACACUGCUCAAGGAUAUACUUUUUGGAGAAAAAGUUUGUAUGUGUAACAAAAGCCGUAAAUAUUGAUUGUUCUUCAAUCAAGCAAUCUAUUUAUUUAUUUAUUUUGCCUUUUUUUGGGCUGCACCAGUGGCAUAUGGAGGUUCCCAGGCAAAGGGUCCAAUUGGAGCUGUAGCUAAGAGCCUACGCUACAGCCACAGCAGCGCUGGAUCUCAGCUGCAUCUGCAACCUACACUACAGCUCGCGCCAGACCCUUAACCUGAGUGAGGCCAGGGAUUGAACCUGCAUCCUCAUGUUUGUUUUGUGUAGUCAAAUUUGUAGUCAUGUAGUCAGAUUUAUUUCCAUUGAGCCAUGAUGAACUCCAGCCACGAUGGGAAGUCCAAUGAAGCAAUUUAAUAUUCAGGAAUUUAUCUUAAGAAAUGUUCAUCACAGCAUUUUCUGUAUCAGAAGACAAAAGAAAACAACUAAAAUGUCUAAUAAUAUAGUUUGGUGAAAUAAUUAUGGCAUAUGCAAUACUGUUCCCAGCAAACAAGCACAUGGUAGACCAACUCUCUAAGUAUUCCAAGUUUUAAUUUAUUUAAUUUCUUAAACAACCCUAUGAGGCAGUACUAUCACAACCCCUAUUUUACAAGUGAGUCAACUGAGUCACAAGGAUGUACACAGCCUGCUCAAGUGUCCAUGACCCCCAAGUGGCUAAGCUGGCACUUGAACCCAGCAGCCAGCAUGGCGCCACAGUCUACAUCUCUAUUUAUGCUGCCUCACAACAAUGAGAUAAUGUUCCAUCAGCACAACUGAUGUGAGGGAGACAUGUUAUUUCAUGGAAAAGUGUUAGAAUAUGUGGGUGAAUGAAUUAAAAAAAAAAAAACAGGUUACAAAAUAAGUUGAGCAGUGUGAUCCCAUUUUCACAGAAAAAAAAAAAAAAAAAAGAAAAGUGUCUUUAUAGAAAGAAAGAAAACUAAAGCUCUUUCAAGAUAUAACCAACUCAACUUACAGUGGUUAUUUUGGGGUGGCAUCUUCACAUGCUUCCGAAAUUCUUUUUGUUUAUCUCUUAGUUCUAACAAUCGUUCCAAAGACCAUGUAUUUAUUUAUUUUUACAAUGAUUUUUAUUGUUUCCAUUAUAGUUGGUUUACACUGUUCUGUCAAUUUUUACUGUACAGCAAAGGGACCGAGUCUCUCUCUCUCUCUCUCUCUCUCACACACACACACACACACACACACACACACACACAUAUAUGUACGUACACACAUUCUCACAUUAUCCUCCAUCAUAUUCCAUUAUAAGUGACUAGAUAUAGUUCCCUGUGCUAUAGAGCAGGAUCUCAUUGCUUAUCCACUCCAAAUGCAAAAAUUUGCAUCUAUUAAUCCCAGACUCCCAGUUCAUCCCACUCCUUCCCCCUCCCACUCCACCUUGGCAACCACAGGUUUGUUCCCCAAGUUCAUGAGUUUUUUUCUGUGGAAAGGUUCAUUUGUGCCACAGAUUCCAGAUAUAAGUGAUAUCAUUUGGUAUUUGCCAAAGACCAUGUAUUUAAAUGUUAAUUAAGCCUCCUUAGAAAUCAAAGAAAUGGAAAUUAAUUAUGAGAUGUAAUGUUAUAAUGAAAUUAUAAUAUUCAUGUGUUAAAUUAAAAACCCUAAUGCUAGCCGUAUUGUGAUGAAAACAAUGCACCCAUGCACUGCUGCUGGCAGUAUAUACUCUUUCCAACCCUCUGGGGAAAGUAAGCUGAGAGCCUUGAAAAUGUUCAUUUCCUGUAACCCUGUGGUCCCACUUGGAGAAAUUAUCCUAUGAUCACAAUUCAAAGGAAUAAAACUGCUUUAUGUAUGUAGUGAGAAGCACAAAAUCAAAAUAUGCAAUGUGUGCACCCACUGUAGAACCACGCGAGGCUGGUGGGCCACCCGAGUCCCUGUUUGCCCAGCUUCCGUCCGAAUGGGCUUCUGAGGAAAGAUGUGGAUCAGGCAUACUGAAGGGCUCCACACGGCUAAACAUAAGCUCCCGUCCAAGUCAUGGGUGUUAAAAAAGCCAGGAAACGCACCCGGAAAAAGAAGAGACUAGACCUAAAUCCAGGAACACCAGUGGCUUGUGGGAGAGACGGCCUUCUGAGUAUGACACCCUGUGCUAUCACCAGUCUGGGUUGCAGGGAUGUGGUCAGGCACAAGCACUGAUACCGAGGGUCUCUUCUUCCCAAGAACUGAAAUGUCACACUUUCUCUUUGACCAUCCAGGGAGCAAAUGUAUCUCCUUUUCCGGUGGUAAACACAGUAUGAGGAAACAACAAAAGUGACCUAGCUAAUCACCCUGGGAGGUACCUGCAUUGGGAAGAUGACAAUGUGGAGAACACCCCAACUUGUUGAUGUACAUUAAUGGCUGGCUUGUCAGGGCUUGUUUGGGGUGCUCCCUUGACUGUGCCCACCAACAAAAAGGCUGUAAAGUCUCCCCAACCGGAACGGGUUCCCAGCCUUGCAGGGCCUGUGUUGAAUCACUGAGCCCAGACCCUAAAACAUGUUAAACAUCCUCCUUCACCUCCUGCAUCCCAGACACUAAGAGCAGCCAAAGGACCUUAUCCUCCACAGCAGGAAGUCUAACAAACUCUACUUUUCUGACCAGCAGGUAUUCAGGUGGUCUUUUGCAGACAACAACAGCCUCUUCUCAGGUUAGGAACAGGAGAUAAAAUUGCAAGAAUGGAUGAGGCAGGCAAUGGCAGUGAUGUUGCUAAGAUGGAGACAAACCCUGGCUUCCUGGGAAGGAUGAGCCACAGAAUCCGGAAGGCAAGGGAAGAAGAGGAACUGGGAGUAAAACUGUUGAAGACCCUGAGGAUGGAGAAACUGCAGCAGCUCAUGGACUGUGGGAAACAAAUGGUACCAGGAAGAGAGAAGAGAGUGGCGCAGAUCUGGCACCAGUGGAUUCAGGGCAUGGACCUUCGUGUGGGCUCAUGACAUGGAAGGAGGGACUUGGAAGCUGGGGCUUCAGAGUACCUUUGCUGGAAAUCAGAGCCAGACUCCCAGGGAUGCUUACUGACCUUGCUGUGGUUUAGGGGGUGACCUCUGGCUCCAGACCACCUACAUCCAAACCCUAGUGCUGUGUGACCUUGCAUAAGCUGCUUGACUGUAAUAUAAUUGUGCGAAGCCUCAAUCUUCUCAUCUGUAAACCUUUACUUAUUUAUUUAUUCAUUCAUUUAUUUAUUUAUUUUUAUUUUUUCUUUUUAGGGCCACACCCAUGACAUAUGGAGGUUCCCAGGCUAGGGGUCCAAUCGGAGCUACAGCUGCCAGCCUGCGCCACAGCUGCAGCAAUGCGGGAUCCAAGCCAUGUCUGUGAUGUACACCACAGCUCACGGCAAUGCCAGAUCCUUAACCCAUUAAGCAAGGCCAGGGAUGAAACCCGCAUCCUCAUGGAUGCUAGUCGGGUUUGUUAAUAGCUGAGCCAUGAUGGGAACCCUUUACUUCUAAUUUCAUCAUCAUUGUCUCCUUGGUAGAACUCUUCCAGGUGCUGGAAGAAGAAAAAACUGGGACACUUAGUUAAUCAUUAUGUAUUAUAUAGAACAGCAAGCAUUUUAGAAAUUAGUAGAGUACUGGUAAAUUUGCAACAUUUGCCAAUUUUCA
This 4400-nucleotide long non-coding RNA is filed under the name Sus scrofa (pig). RNAcentral describes it as "lncRNA (ENSSSCG00060045805.1)". Lineage: Eukaryota; Metazoa; Chordata; Mammalia; Artiodactyla; Suidae. The record is from RNAcentral.